CGUGUCGUGAGAUGUUGGGUUAAGUCCCGCAACGAGCGCAACCCUUAUGACUAGUUGCCAGCAUUAAGUUGGGCACUCUAGUAAGACUGCCGGUGACAAACCGGAGGAAGGUGGGGACGACGUCAAAUCAUCAUGCCCCUUAUGACCUGGGCUACACACGUGCUACAAUGGAUGGUACAACGAGUUGCGAACCCGCGAGGGCAAGCUAAUCUCUUAAAGCCAUUCUCAGUCCGGACUGUAGGCUGCAACUCGCCUACACGAAGUCGGAAUCGCUAGUAAUCGCGGAUCAGCAUGCCGCGGUGAAUACGUUCCCGGGCCUUGUACACACCGCCCGUCACACCAUGAGAGUUUGUAACACCCGAAGCCGGUGGGGUAACCUUUUAGGAGCUAGCCGUCUAAGGUGGGACAGAUGAUUAGGGU
Molecule: ribosomal RNA, 420 nt
Filed under: uncultured bacterium
Lineage: Bacteria
Description: bacterial SSU rRNA
Rfam family: Bacterial small subunit ribosomal RNA
Source: RNAcentral